RNAcentral lists this unclassified non-coding RNA (301 nucleotides) under fungal sp. RNAcentral describes it as "partial internal transcribed spacer region". The stretch from base 1 to 46 matches the Rfam family "Eukaryotic small subunit ribosomal RNA", at positions 1786 to 1831 of the family's 1831-position model. Lineage: Eukaryota; Fungi. The record is from RNAcentral.
AAGUCGUAACAAGGUUUCCGUAGGUGAACCUGCGGAAGGAUCAUUACCAAAUCCAAAUCCCAAAACCCCAUGUGAACUAUUGUAUAGUCUGUCUUUGGGAGAAAAACGUAAAAGUAUUAUGAAAAAAGCUUCGGUUUUAUUCUUUUAUUUUGAAACUUUUCUCCCAAUAGAGUCCGGCGCAACGUUAUUGUUGUGUCCAGAUUCGAAACCCCUUUUAAAACCACUUGAUUUUUCUGUUGGAAUUUACUUUUAUUAAUUAUAAAUAAAAGACAACUUUUAACGGUGGAUCUCUUGGCUCGUG